UGGGGAAUUUUGCACAAUGGGGGAAACCCUGAUGCAGCGACGCCGCGUGAUUUAGAAGGCCUUCGGGUUGUAAAAAUCUUUUCUAUGGGAAGAAAAUGACAGUACCAUAGGAAUAAGGACCGGCUAAUUACGUGCCAGCAGCCGCGGUAAUACGUAAGGUCCGAGCGUUGUCCGGAAUCAUUGGGCGUAAAGGGUACGUAGGCGGGUAAGCAAGUUAGAAGUGAAAUCCUAUAGCUCAACUAUAGUAAGCUUUUAAAACUGCUCAUCUUGAGGUAUGGAAGGGAAAGUGGAAUUCCUAGGGUAGCGGUGAAAUACGCAGAUAUUAGGAGGAAUACCGGUGGCGAAGGCGACUUUCUGGACGUAACCUGACGCUGAAGUACGAAAGCGGGGGUAGCAAACAGG
RNAcentral lists this ribosomal RNA (402 nucleotides) under bacterium. RNAcentral describes it as "partial 16S ribosomal RNA". It matches the Rfam family "Bacterial small subunit ribosomal RNA", at positions 355 to 776 of the family's 1533-position model. The record is from RNAcentral.